This 482-nucleotide ribosomal RNA is filed under the name uncultured bacterium. Its description in RNAcentral is "partial 16S ribosomal RNA". It matches the Rfam family "Bacterial small subunit ribosomal RNA", at positions 30 to 507 of the family's 1533-position model. The record is from RNAcentral.
AUUGAACGCUGGCGGCAUGCUUUACACAUGCAAGUCGAACGGUAACAGGCCGCAAGGUGCUGACGAGUGGCGUACGGGUGCGUAAUGCAUCCGAGCGUGCCCAGUCGUGGGGGAUAACUACUCGAAAGAGUAGCUAAUACCGCAUACGAUCUAUGGAUGAAAGCGGGGGACCGUAAGGCCUCGCGCGAUUGGAGCGGCCGGUGUCAGAUUAGGUAGUUGGUGGGGUAAAGGCUCACCAAGCCAACGAUCUGUAGCUGGUCUGAGAGGACGACCAGCCACACUGGGACUGAGACACGGCCCAGACUCCUACGGGAGGCAGCAGUGGGGAAUUUUGGACAAUGGGCGCAAGCCUGAUCCGGCAAUGCCGCGUGCAGGAAGAAGGCCUUCGGGUUGUAAACUGCUUUUGUACGGAACGAAACGGCUCUGGUUAAUACCCGGGGCUAAUGACGGUACCGUAAGAAUAAGCACCGGCUAACUACGUG